RNAcentral lists this ribosomal RNA (468 nucleotides) under uncultured bacterium. RNAcentral describes it as "partial 16S ribosomal RNA". It matches the Rfam family "Bacterial small subunit ribosomal RNA", at positions 28 to 507 of the family's 1533-position model. The record is from RNAcentral.
GACGAACGCUGGCGGCGUGCUUAACACAUGCAAGUCGAACGGAAAGGCCCUGCUUUUGUGGGGUGCUCGAGUGGCGAACGGGUGAGUAGCACGUGAGUAACCUGCCCUUGACUUUGGGAUAACUUCAGGAAACUGGGGCUAAUACCGGAUAGGAGCUCCUGCUGCAUGGUGGGGGUUGGAAAGUUUCGGCGGUUGGGGAUGGACUCGCGGCUUAUCAGCUUGUUGGUGGGGUAGUGGCUUACCAAGGCUUUGACGGGUAGCCGGCCUGAGAGGGUGACCGGCGACAAUGGGACUGAGAUACGGCGCAGACGCCUACGGGAGGCAGCAGGGGGGAGUAUUGCACAAUGAGCGGAAGCGUGAGGAAGCAGCGCCGCGAGUGGGAUGACGGCCUUCGGGUGGUAAACCGCUUUCGGCUGUGACGAAGCGGGAGUGACGGUAAUGGGUGAAGAAGCACCGGCUAACUACGUG